Molecule: ribosomal RNA, 759 nt
Filed under: uncultured Enterobacteriaceae bacterium
Lineage: Bacteria; Pseudomonadati; Pseudomonadota; Gammaproteobacteria; Enterobacterales; Enterobacteriaceae
Description: bacterial SSU rRNA
Rfam family: Bacterial small subunit ribosomal RNA
Source: RNAcentral
AUUGAACGCUGGCGGCAGGCCUAACACAUGCAAGUCGAACGGUAACAGGAAGCAGCUUGCUGCUUCGCUGACGAGUGGCGGACGGGUGAGUAAUGCCUGGGAAACUGCCUGAUGGAGGGGGAUAACUACUGGAAACGGUAGCUAAUACCGCAUAACGUCGCAAGACCAAAGAGGGGGACCUUAGGGCCUCUUGCCAUCGGAUGUGCCCAGAUGGGAUUAGCUAGUAGGUGGGGUAACGGCUCACCUAGGCGACGAUCCCUAGCUGGUCUGAGAGGAUGACCAGCCACACUGGAACUGAGACACGGUCCAGACUCCUACGGGAGGCAGCAGUGGGGAAUAUUGCACAAUGGGCGCAAGCCUGAUGCAGCCAUGCCGCGUGUAUGAAGAAGGCCUUCGGGUUGUAAAGUACUUUCAGCGGGGAGGAAGGGAGUAAAGUUAAUACCUUUGCUCAUUGACGUUACCCGCAGAAGAAGCACCGGCUAACUCCGUGCCAGCAGCCGCGGUAAUACGGAGGGUGCAAGCGUUAAUCGGAAUUACUGGGCGUAAAGCGCACGCAGGCGGUUUGUUAAGUCAGAUGUGAAAUCCCCGGGCUCAACCUGGGAACUGCAUCUGAUACUGGCAAGCUUGAGUCUCGUAGAGGGGGGUAGAAUUCCAGGUGUAGCGGUGAAAUGCGUAGAGAUCUGGAGGAAUACCGGUGGCGAAGGCGGCCCCCUGGACGAAGACUGACGCUCAGGUGCGAAAGCGUGGGGAGCAAACAGG